RNAcentral lists this ribosomal RNA (263 nucleotides) under uncultured bacterium. RNAcentral describes it as "partial 16S ribosomal RNA". It matches the Rfam family "Bacterial small subunit ribosomal RNA", at positions 524 to 786 of the family's 1533-position model. The record is from RNAcentral.
UACGUAGGGGGCAAGCGUUAUCCGGAUUUACUGGGUGUAAAGGGAGCGUAGACGGCAGGGCAAGUCUGGAGUGAAAGCCCGGGGCUCAACCCCGGGACUGCUUUGGAAACUGCCUAGCUAGAGUGCAGGAGAGGUAAGAGGAAUUCCUAGUGUAGCGGUGAAAUGCGUAGAUAUUAGGAGGAACACCAGUGGCGAAGGCGUCUUACUGGACUGUAACUGACGUUGAGGCUCGAAAGCGUGGGGAGCAAACAGGAUUAGAUACC